CGCCCUGCGUUUUCUCUUUUUCUUCCUCUCUCCUUUCCCCUCCUUUCCUUCUUCCUGAUUGGGAAAUUUCAUCCCUCUUCCCUCCUUUUCUCUCCUCUUCUUUUUAUCCUAGCCACACACAUGGCUUCACAUAUCUUUGCUCCAAAAAUCUGGAGCCUUCCAAGUUAAAUAAAAUUACGAAAAUAUCCCUAACUUUAAAUGUUAAUAACUAUUCCGUCAUAACUC
Molecule: long non-coding RNA, 225 nt
Filed under: Malus domestica (apple)
Lineage: Eukaryota; Viridiplantae; Streptophyta; Magnoliopsida; Rosales; Rosaceae
Description: long non-coding RNA (MDOM_LNC000161)
Source: RNAcentral